This 248-nucleotide ribosomal RNA is filed under the name uncultured bacterium. RNAcentral's name for it is "partial 16S ribosomal RNA". It matches the Rfam family "Bacterial small subunit ribosomal RNA", at positions 63 to 339 of the family's 1533-position model. The record is from RNAcentral.
CGAGCGAGGUAGCAAUACCUAGCGGCAGACGGGUGAGUAACAUGUGGGAAUCUGCCUUUUGGUUCGGAACAACACGGGGAAACCUGUGCUAAUACCGGAUAAGUCCUAACGGAGAAAGUUUUAAUGCCAAAAGAUGAGCCCGCAUUUGAUUAGUUAGUUGGUGAGGUAAUGGCUCACCAAGACAAUGAUCAAUAGCUGAUCUGAGAGGAUGAUCAGCCACAUUGGGACUGAGACACGGCCCAAACUCC